This is a long non-coding RNA of Alligator mississippiensis (American alligator), 8690 nucleotides long. RefSeq lists it as uncharacterized. The record is from RefSeq and is a predicted model, not a curated record. NCBI's taxonomy places the organism in Eukaryota, Metazoa, Chordata, Crocodylia, Alligatoridae. The transcript has 2 exons.
CCUCCUGCAUGGGGAAGAGAAACUCCAAAUUAGUUCCUGACAUUAGUCCAAGCGCUGCUAUUCCUCCUGCUGGGCUAGGCCUUCAAGCAGGACUGGACCUCAGCACUUGUGUUUCCUUAAGAAAACAAGGUCUUCCUUCCAAAACCCCAAACGCUGGGUGUGAGGGAGGGCCAGAUCCAUGUGCCGUGCACAUUUCCCUACUCAGUGGACUUCAGAGCCAGAUUUCUGUCCCAGCUGUCAGCCCAACCACCUUGAUGGGAGAAACAGAUGUGGUACACGUGGAUUAGGACAGGACCCAAAUGGCUUUGUGCUCUAGCAGGCUGAGAUUGAGACUAGAGGCAUCUGCUUAAAGGAAGAAUGAGUCUAAUGGCCACUUUCUUCUACAGAACAGUGUCUCAACCUGUGGUAUGCAUACCCUUGGGGGUAUGUGAGACACAGGCAGGGGGUACGCGGGUACCCCAAUGCUUUCUCUCUCUCUCACCCUCUUUUCCUGUCAAAACUAUGGCAAAAAAUUUGGUCUGCCACACACUGCGCAGCACUUUAAAUUCCCCAGUAAUAAUUUGGCGCUUCACACUUCACGCGGCACUGGGUCCAGCCCUCCUACCUUUGGCCAACAUCACCUCUAGCCCAGGUGCACCCCUGGUGUAAAAGGUGGCAACCCUACCUACAUCAGAUCAGACCAGACAUCAGUCAUAUCACGGCCUUAUAUGCACAGCCCUGCUUCUGACAUAUGGCACACAUUAGUCUGUAAGUAUAAAAUCCCCUGUAAAGUGAGUGUUGGGGUACUUAGUAAAAUUUUCAGAAGUUAGGGGGUACUUGCUACUUAAAAGGUUGAGAAACACUGUUCUUCAGCACCGGCAAGCUCGGGAGAUGAUGCCGAGCCUCCACCUGACCGGACUGACAUGUUGCAGAAGCCAAAGUGCAUUGGUGAGACUGCUCCCCAGCACUCACCCUUGCUCUCUGCCAGUCCUGAGAGCAGCAUUACUCGGGGUACAAGGCUAAACAGCCUCACAGUGGAUUUCUGGGGCUUGUCGGCAAUCAUAGGUCUGUGGGGAGCAGUGCCUCCCAUUGAACCAGCUGCUUCUGUGGCACACGAGUGCUGUUUUUAUUUGGUAGAAAAAGCCAACAUGUUUCAUUCCUCAUCCCUCCUGUCACAACCAAAUUAAUCAGUGCCCAUGUCAUUAGCAAGUGAUGCACACAACAGUCAAUUAAGGGUUAAAGAAAUCUCUGUCCAGAAGUUCCUAAGAAAAAAAAUCCAAGCAAGAAACUUAAAUUUAUGCCCACGUCACAACCAAGAAACGAAACUUAAGCGUGAUUUAUGAUUGGUCAGAGUAAAAGGGAAUAGCCCUGUCAUAAAUCCCUGCAAUUGGUCAAGAAACAAGCUCAGACCCCUCUCACGUAUCAGACAAAAAACCUGACCCACUACCUUGUAACCUGAUAGCAACCUGAGAGCACAAAGAACUGCUGCUUGCCAGAUAAUUAAAGAUUCCACCUAGCAGCCCAUCAUUGGACACCUCCGUUAGUUACCUCUGUCUAUAAAUAGUUUAACAACUUCCGCCUAAAUCGAAGACCUCUGAACACAAGCAUCAGAGUAAAUUGGUGACUUGAUCAGUCAUCAAUCUCUUCCGUCAGCGCGGCUCCCGGACGUACCCCCAACCCUCCUGCAGGCCCGUACUGUCGUUUACGGUAUCUCGUUCGUCAUGCUCACGGUCGAUUAUAAUCUAAGACACUCGAAUGUAAACAACGCAAGUCUUCUGCCUGCGCGGCACGUCACUAUCCGGGCGGCAAAUGUCUGUGAAGCAUGCAGUGUGUGCAACAUUUCCAGGCCGGCAUCUGUGCACCUGUGUGCUGGCUGUCUCCGCUGGAUGUCUGCCUUGCAGGGGUGCCUGCCCCAAGCUGCCCAAAUGGGGUUGGGGUCCCCUGUCUGCUGAAUGUCCUGCAGCAGGGGGAGUUGGUGGCCUCAAUCAAUGUAGCUGCUAGUUGUUCAACUGUGCAUAGUUCUCUGCUUGGAUUUCUACAAAUGUAACCGUGCCGCUCGUGUGUUUACUAACGAACAAAAUAAAAGGGUGAAACAAAUGAAAGGUUCUAUCUAUAAAAGAGAAUGGAUGAUUUUCCUCCCGUCUUUUGUAUCCUCAUGUGAAACAGCAGAGAAGGGCGAACCCCAGGGAAUCCCCAAGCUGAGCAGCGACAGCAUGGCAGAUGGCGGGGGGGUGGGGGGCAGAGGUGGAUUACGAUUCCUUGGGACCCUGGGAUCCCCAUCCUACUGUGCGACCCACCCACACCAUGGAUCCCAACCCCCAGGUGCCUCCCCCCACCUGGCAACCCCCACACUGCCCAGCCUGCACACAGCAGGGGAGGCGGGCAGCAGUACAGGACAGCAGGGUGAACAGGGGCCAAAAAGAAAAUUAGGAGCAGCAAUCCAAAGUGGCAUCUAGUGGACAAAGGCCUGAACUACAAAAGUAGCGUAACACCUACUGAUGGAAAAAGAGGGUAGUUACACGACUUUGAGUGUCUUUGUGUUUGCAUGCAACGAAUCCAUAGAUGCAACGCUUUAAUUCACGGCGAGCCAAACUAAACUACAUCCGAGCAGUUUUACUUUAACACGCCAAAAAGAGUUUUAAAACUUUGGGAAAUCCCGCUCGUGCAAACAGACAUGCAGUUGCAGUGCAUGAAAGGGCAAAUAUCAUGGCGUGUACAUGUAUCCCUUGGCAUUAACCUGCACGUGGACUCUGUGCUGAGUCUCAGGGUUUGUGACACUCAAGGCCCCAGGGAUAAAACAGCAAAGGUAAGACUCUGGUGCAAACUCGGGGGUAUUCAUUCCCCCCCUCCCGCCCCCUGCAAACAGGAAAGCGUGUUAAUCUCAACUUCCCUAACACCUGUAAUUAGGGAGAGAAGAAAGGAAGAGUUGCUUGUCUCCACAGCUUUGAAUUUCAGGGGGUGGGAAGAACACCUGCCUGGACACAUUAUAGCAUAAACUCUUUGAGGUUAGCAACCUGGAACGGCAGCACAGGAGCGGUCAGCAGCUUCUAAGCCCCCUGUCACUCUGGGUAUCGAGAAUUUCUGAAGGGAACUAGGUAGAGGGGAUAGACACAACUCACCUGGUGACAGGUCCUCUGUCCUGGAGAUUUCCCCAUGGUCCUCAUCCUCACAGACCCAGAGCUCCAACUCUCCUUGCUGGAUGCGGCAGAUUAAGUUAGGUGUGGGACCUCCAUAUCCUGUUUGGGGCAGUAGUUAAAGUGCGUUUGUGAUUUGGCAGUCAAAGAAGAAUAACUGAUGGGGAUUGGAAAUGGAUCCAAUAAACUCAAGGUUUCGACUAGGGCAGGCAUGGGCAAAACGGUGGAUCUGGCUGUUGGCUGGACUCUAUUUUCCAGCAGUCCCUGCCCCAGCUGGUCUUCAUGGAGACCCUGGGAGCAGUGGGGCCGUGACAAGUGGGGUUGCAGAGCUGGGGCUCUACCCUGGUCCCACAUGGUCACAGCCCUGCACUCGCAGGGUCUCCAUGAAGGCCAGCCGGGAGCGAUGCAGGCAGGGUGUGUGGCUGGAUGGGGAGCUGCUCUGUGGGGCCAGGAUCAUGUGGUGGUGACAGCACAGGGCCAGAGCCGGGGCAGAGCCAGGAUCUGCUGCCCGCACACCCCUGCCUGCACUCAUCACAGGGCCGUGCAGGCAGCGGAUCACAGUUCUGCCCCAACCCCAGCACCCCGAGAUCCCGGGAUCUCCUCGGCCCUACCCGCCCAUCUCACUCCUGGCUGCGGCACCAUCCCGGCAGCCUGACCGCGUCCCCUGCUCAUGCAGGUCCUGCACCCGGCAGUGGGUGCAGGGUGGAUGGGACAGGAUGCCUGGGAAGUGGGGCUGGGUCCAGUGGUGGCAGCCAGAAGGAGCUGCCACCACAGGGGCUGCUGGGAAAUGGAGACUCUCGUGGGCCUGAUCCAGCCCAUGGGCCAGACUUUGCCCCCACCCCUUGUACUAGGGCCUCAAAGGGAAAGGGAGGGUGGAUAUUUGGGACGAAAGAGAAGGCACUGCAGGGAGAAGCCUUCAAUAGAUGAUGGGUCUUGUCACCCAGGUGGUGGAGGGGGAGUUGGUCACAGGAAACAUAGCACCCACCUCUCUGAAGUAUAAAAAGGGUACAAAAGUCAUGACGGACAGGGGUGGAGAGACAGUGAUCUGUGAUGUAGUAGAAAGCAGAAAGAAACAGCUUUUACUGUUUUCAAGGUACCAAAAUUAAGAGACAUCAGACACACUUAUGGAUGGAUAACACUUAUCUUAGUGUAAUUCCAGGCGAAGGAGUGGAAAUGAGUUUAUUCUCAGUGAAGGUCUAAAGCCAGGACUUGUGGGAGUGAAAAGAACCCAUGACAAAUGUCUGACAAUAAUUCUUUUUCCUGGGAGAGAGGGUAAUUUGUCAUCAGCAGAGCACAGGAAAGGAUGAUUUUAUAAGAACUAUAGAUCCGACUAAAGCAAUCCAAUGGGAGGAUGAUCUUUGGGCAGAGAUGCUUUCACAAGUUGGCAGAUACUGAAGGGUUUAAGAUAAAGUUCAUGGGAGUCAUGGAUAUGGAGAAAAGAAGAAAAAAAGGAGACACAUUUCCCAGCAUGUGCAAUCCCAUAAUGUGGAAAUGAUCUGCAGAGUUUCCCAAAACUAGAAUCGCAUCCAAAAGAGAGGGCCCUCCAAGACAAAUACAUUGCACAGUGACUAGAAAGAGAGAUAUAACCACAGUGAAAGUGCGGUAUCUUGUGAGAGCCUCGUGGCCCAAAGCAGCGUACUACUUGGUGACUUUGGGCCACCCCCAGAGAUAUGAGAGAGAAAGAGAACUGAGACAUGAAAUAGCAGAAAUUAGUUCAUAAGCAGGGUUAUCUCUGUGUAAAAAUGACAUAUUCUCUGAUUUAAAACACCCAAAUUCCAUGUUUUUCCAUGAUUACAAUGAAAUGCUAUUUUAUAUAUAUAAUAGAUAGAUAUGCCCUUAUCUAUCUAUCUAUCUAUCUAUCUAUCUAUCUAUCUAUCUAUCUAUCUAUCUAUCUAUCUAUCUAUCUAUCUAUCUAUCUAAAUAUUUUACUGAUAUAAUUACAGUUUUUAAACAGUCUGGAAGCCUACCAGUGCCACAAUCAUUAUAAUAAAUACAUUCUGAAUACUUAUAUAUUUUGGCAUUUGAUUUUGUUUUUUUUAUCACGGAAAAUCAGAGCUCCCGCUGCUUCCCUUGCUCACCAGGAUGCGGGUCCAGCUGCAGAUGUUCCUCCCACCAUUGCUUUGUGGCGCUGAACAGCCCUGAUAUGCCUUUGCCCUGCGCCUUCACUCCCAAGCCACAGCCCCCGCCAUCCCCACCUCCAGGGAGCUGCUCCCACCACCCUGCCUGGCUGUAUUGUAGAAACACUCCUGGGAAGAUGUCUGCCUCCCUCAGUGACGGGGCUGAUUCCCCUGAAUGAGUCAAACCUCAGGACUGAUAAUGGUGAUGGGGGACGGGGGAAGCCAAGCCAAUCCAAUCCCCAACAAAGCCCUGGCUUGUCACAUGCGCCCCUUGGCUAAUCCCCAUCCUCUCAGCCCUGUCCAUCACUCUGCCACAGAGGGAGCCGGGCUCCGAGGUGACGGCUGUGAAACUCAAGCUGAGCUGGGCCUGCUCACAAAAGUGAAAAUGCAAAAUACUGAUGACAACUGCAUAGUGCAAGAAGAUAGCAGUCUGCAGCUGGACUUUCUCAAAAGACAUAAUGAGGUAUCACUUCCAGUGCAUCUUACCUAUAUUCAUGCUGAUUUUAAGCAAGCUCCUAUUUGUCUGGUAUGUAACUGGGUGAAAUGGCUAUCCUUGAUUAAUUAGUACAGUAAAUAUUUCUUUGCAAUUAACUCAUGUCUCUGUGUAGGAAGAGCCAUUCUCCACAUGGGCGUUGUGUUUUUCUUGAGUGUUAAUCAUUUCUUGAUAUGUUCCAACUUAGUAGAAAUGGAUAAUCUCCUGUUACUGAAAAAGGUCAUUCAAUCCAAAUCAGGACUGUCUGAUAGCCAAUAAUGAACAGUUUGAUUAACAGGAUUUUCCCUUUAAUCACUGCUUGGGAUUCUCUCUUGAUUGAAACAACUACAAGAAUGCUUUGAACUCGCUGGGUAUAAAAGAGGAGCAAAACAGCCAACAGGACGCACUUCAAGAAUGAGAAAUCAUUUUGACAAGAACUCCUACUGCGCCUGGCGGAUCUGCUGCUGAACGAAUCCACGCCUUGAGAAGCUGACAAGACUGAGUCGCCUCUUCGCCUGCAUUGGUGAGAUACGAUCUCUUUUACAGCUAAAUAUACUGGACUGUGCUCUGCUUUAGGCUCAUUUAACCAUGAAUACUUGUAGUAAGUCAAGCCUUUCUGUCAUUCAUUGAAUGAGUUGUUGUGUCAGUCCUUUAUACGCUAGUCCUGAAUCCCAUUUCAUGACUUAAAAGGAGGUACAAUGGCAGGGAAGUGUGGUGUGGCCCGUCAGUCGGGCUGGGUGGACAGGGGCUGGCAUUGGCAGGCUCCCUGGGCAAGGCAGGAGGCAGCACGCACUUGGCUCUGGGAGCCAGCAAGGAACGGGGUGGCAAGCCCUCGUGCCCCUGGCCGCUGGGGGGCACGGCAAUGGCGGUGGGAGUGUGGCGGCAGUAAGCGAUGAGCUCCCGCAGACACCGCCAGCAGCAUUGGCAGCGGGAGUGGCGAGCACCUUUUUGUAGAGGGUGCACUGCCACGCUCAGAGGGUGCACGUGCACCCGCAUGCACCCCCUACAUGUCGCCAGUGCCCUUGUGGCAGCCAGCACCACAUGGCACACAGUGUCCCAGCCCAGUGGGGCAGCCUCCCUGGCCCCAGCAUAAGCCAAGGGUUGGGGGUGGGCACAGGCCAGAGCUAAGUGCCCUGUGCUCUCUCUGUGCCCCCCAAAAGCCAGAGAGAUGCAAGGGGCCAAGAGGCGCCAUGCACUGCCUGCCAUCUUCCUGCUGCUCACUUCAACCCUGCCGGCUCUGGGGGCAGCGGCAGCAGCUGGGAGCUGCAGGCAUCGGGCACAGAGCGCUCUUUUUGCAGGGGAUUGGGUGGAGCAGCAAACUGGCACCUGCCAUGGUUCCCAUUACGGGACAGGGUGUUCGCCCAGCGCUAGAGCAGCAGUGCCCUGCACACCGCAGCAUCCCUAGAGCUGCAGUGCUGCGCUGCAGCUGGGAGUGGGCAGCAAGGUAAGUGCCCCAGCUCUUCAACACUGCCAGGCACGCAAGGUAAAAGACCCGGCCUACCUGCAGGGCUGGGGGAGAGGGGCAUAUAGCCCCCUGCAAGCUUUACUUACCCCAAAGGCUUCAGGAGGGCAAGUAAGCCUGAGCCAAGCCCUGGUUGACCCAGAUUUGCAGGUCCCAGGCCCCCUCCCUCACCUCUUCCUCCAUCUCCAGACAGGGCUUAGGGUGUCCUGCUCUUUUUUGCAAGCUUGCAGCCUGCAGAGAGCUCUUUGCAAAAGGAGAAACCCAUGGCUUCUUGCUUCAAGUGGGGAAAAAUCUGUGUUUUUCUCUGCUAAAGGGGAAAAUCUGCAUCUUUCUCCUUCGAGUGGGAAAAUCCACAUUUUUCUGCAGGAAAUGGAAAACCCGCAUUCCCUGCUUAUAAGAGAAUGCCUGAGCAACAUAGUAAUGUCAACCAACAGUCUUCUAAAUAAUAAAAAGCUUGCUGCAAAUGCACUUUGGGACGCGUGGAAGGAAGCUGCACGUAUAGAUGCUGAAGUAGGAUUAGGUGUCACAUACAGAAAACCAGGUAGCAAAUCUCAUGGAGGACUAUAUAGGUUUCCUGAGGUACUGAAGGAAAGAGAAGGCUUCAAGAAGUGGCAAAGCUGGAUUUGGACCAAGUUGUACGAAUCAUAUUGAAUGUAAUAGUUUGAAUGCCCAUUAGCCAGUUUAAACAAACGGCAAGGUUCAUCUUCUUAUCUAGGUUCGUUGCUUGUUUUACCUGGCCUUACAACGAACGGACUUAAAGUCUUGGCUCCUCCAUCUUAUCUCUAGAGACCUUUAACAAGUUAUCGUAAGGACCGGAAAAAAGACCCUUAAGCAAACAUUGCGAGAGAUCAAAACCCUAGGAGCCUUUUGAAAAGGGGUUGUAAAAGAAAGGUCACCGCAGCGGUAUGGAAAAUCUUCCAAAGCAAAAUUUAAGAUAAACUGAAUAGUCAGUGGACAAAUUCCGUUGCGGAAGACAAACUGACCACCUAGCAAAAAACCUGUUGAGUAAGAUCCGAGCCCAAAUUUGGGAGUAGUGACAGGUUUGGGUAGGACGGGCCCAAGAUGGCAACUCACCCAAUAAAACCUGUAACCUACAGUCCCAAUUUGGAGGUAACCUCUUCACCUGCAGAACAACGAAGGAAGAAUCGCAAGUGUAGGCCGGAUCAGACUGAUCACCCGAACCACCCUCUCCGUGAACACGAAUCUGUUAGUUCACACUGAAGCUGUGGAGCGCCCAAGUGGGACAUGUUCCUAUCACUGCUGAGGCCAACCCAUUGAAUCGUACUACUGAGGCCAGCCCAUUAAAUUGUACUACUGAGGAAUGAAACCAUAUUUAGGUGUUUGGCUUCUUAGAAUUCUAGGAUUGUAACUAUAAUAUAGUAAUAACUUUUCUGCUUCAAAUUAUAGAGUUAGUUGUAAUUGUAAUUGUUUUAAAGAAGUGCAUUUAGAGUAUUGUUCCUUAUAUAUAUAGUUAUCGUGUUUUUGAUGUUUAUGGUAUUUCUUAAAAUAAAAUUGUGUUGUAUAAA